GCCCGGGUGGUGAAAUUGGUAGACACAAGGGACUUAAAAUCCCUCGGACAUUGCGUCUGUACCGGUUCAAGUCCGGUCUCGGGCA
Molecule: non-coding RNA, 85 nt
Organism: Helicobacter cinaedi
Lineage: Bacteria; Pseudomonadati; Campylobacterota; Epsilonproteobacteria; Campylobacterales; Helicobacteraceae
Source: Rfam